GUUUCUUUCUAACCUGAUUGUGGAGAGCAUAAAGGUGAGGGGAAGCCAUUAGGAAGUAUGACUAAGAAAGGGAAAAUACAACAUAUCACCCAGACCACCCAGUUCUCACCAAAUUGGAAGGUGUCAAAAUGGCCUUAUUUGAAGCCCAUUGGAUUUUUCCAUCAGCUCCAGCAAGACCUUGGAUGAGGCCCUAGAUACAGGUGAAAAAAAAGUCUGAAAUGACACAAGGUCAGCAGGUUCUGCUGUAACAGUCUUCAUGAGGUUCUGGCACACUGGACUGCAGUUAUUAUUUGAUCCAAACUGAACCUUUAAUGACAGUAGUUAAUAAUCUUUUUAUCUGCUGCUAAUAAGGCCAUUCUCUCAUAGAAAUUACUUCUUUUGUUCUGUUUUGUCUUCCUUUUUUUUUGGACUGAGGAAAACCAAUACAAAAUAAUCGGCAUUUUUAAUGGCAUCUAUCCAGUCCAUAUUCUUUUGGCUGUCAUCUCUUCUUAGCUACAUUUUUGGCUGUAUAUACUGACAGUGGCCUCCUGCAGUGGAGGAAUAUGAUGUCUUGGAUGUAUCUCAUGUAGGAAAAGCUGUAGAAAGUGAAUGGCCUUCUCGAUACUCUUGCAGUAAAAUCACAAUGUUAGCUUGGCCCAUGUUUUGUUGCCUUCCACAGACACCCCUCUUUCCCAACAUGCUAAUAAUUUUGGAGAAGCCACAUGUUAGAUGCGCUUAUCUUGAUGGUUGAAAACUUUCUUUACAUUCUCUGGAAUUUAUUGAAUGCUUAUACCAAGAUAUUUGUGCACGUCUCAUCCCUAAAAUCCACAAAGCAUUAUUCAUGACCUACUACUUUCCAAGGCAUA
Long non-coding RNA from Grus americana (Whooping crane), 845 nucleotides. RefSeq lists it as uncharacterized. NCBI's taxonomy places the organism in Eukaryota, Metazoa, Chordata, Aves, Gruiformes, Gruidae. The record is from RefSeq and is a predicted model, not a curated record. The transcript is spliced from 3 exons.